Psammomys obesus (fat sand rat) is the source of this 2158-nucleotide long non-coding RNA. RefSeq lists it as uncharacterized. The transcript has 2 exons. The record is from RefSeq and is a predicted model, not a curated record. NCBI's taxonomy places the organism in Eukaryota, Metazoa, Chordata, Mammalia, Rodentia, Muridae.
UCUUCAUCCUGUCUUUAUUUUCCACCUAACCUACUUCUCUUCUGCUCUUACUUCCUGUUUGCUUUAGAUUUCUUUAACUCUGGUGAUAGAGCUUAAAUGGUUGGUGUGUGGGCCUGCAGAGAUGGCUCAGUGGUGAAGCACUGACUGCUCUUCAGGAAAAUCCCAGUUUGAUUCCCAGGACCCUGUGUGAGUCAAAACCAUCCUUAGCUCCAGUGCUAUGGGAUCCAGUGGCCUCCAAGGGCACUGCAUGCACAUGGCACACAGACAUGCAUGCAGGAAACUGGAGCGCCCAUCCUGACGGACGAUGUCAGCCUGCAGGUGUUCAUGGAUCACUUGAAGAAGCUGGCUGUGUCCAGUGCCUCUUAAGCUGACGGCACAGCCCGGAAAUGGAAGACAGUGCUCUCAGACUGUGCUCACGUUGUUAUUGUCCUGGCAACAUUCCUUUUACCUUUCUGGGGGAUUCUAAUAAAUAACCCAAGGAAUUUUUUAUAUGUAUGUCUUCAGGUUAUAAUACAUCUUCAGGCUGUAAUUUAUUUGUAUUCCUUCUCUGUCUGUUUUCCUACUCAUGGAAUUAUAUGUCAUAAAUGUUCUGCUAAGUGUAGAUGUUUACUUACUUUUUAUACCUUAAUGUUUUAGAGUCUUUAUAAAAUCAGAGUUUAUGUAGUUUGGGCUGCUUGUUUAAGUGAAAGUCUUAAUGAUCAUAAAGAAAAUAAAUCUGGAUGAGGACAGCAUUGGCCAAAAUAAUGCAGAUUUUAUUUUUGAGUGGGUGUGUGUUUGAGAGGGAUAGAGAGAGAGAGAACAUGCAUGCUCAUGAAGGUUAGGGGACAACAUAGUGGAGGUGGCUCUUUCCUUCCACCUUGUGGGUUGUGGUUCUCAGGAAUAAAACUCAGGCCAUCAGUUUUGUCAACAAGUGCCCUUACCUACUGAGCCAUCUCAGUAGGGGAAGUAAAGCUUCAAGGGGAAGUAAAGUCCUAAGUAGACUGAAAGAGAACUGUGAGUUGGAUGUUAGGCCACCUGGACUGAUUAUAAUUGUCUACCUUUGAAGUUCAUAUUUACUCUCCUUUGUCUCCGUUCUAUGCUUUGGAAACAUUUAGUAUCUAACAGAUACAUUUCAGAUGUUAAGAGUUUAUAUAAUAUUUCCUUUCCCAGAGGAGAUUUUUAUGUAAUUUUCAAUUGAGACACAUCUUAUGGAAGAGGACAUAAAAUUUUAAGUGGAUUGGAACUAAAAUUCCCUCAUUGGACCUAUCUGUUACAAGUUAACAGAAGAAAGCAUAUGGCGGUUCCAUCGCAGCCAGGUUCUCUCCAGUAAGGUAAGAUGAGAGCACCUCUGAGUGACUGACAGAGAAGACGUGGCCAUACGGUGCCACUUCUAGGCCCCAGUGGGGAGGAGGGGUAGAGUGCUCCCUGAGUGGGUACCACUGAGUCCACUGUACCUCAUGAAAACUCUGAGCUCUGUUUGAAAUCAAGGCACACUUACCUCAGGCAGGGGCUGAAAUGGUCAGUUGUGGUGUAAAAAACUAGGACUUGAAUGGCAGGAAGGAUGGGAGAGAAAAAUGAGUCUUAAACCAGAGUAUGCUGUUCAGAAGUGAUGAACGCGACAACAUGAGAAGGGGGUCAAUAUUUCUUGGGGGGUGGUUUUUGCAGUCACUGCCUUAAUUAGGGAACAGAAGAGUGUUUCUUCUGUGUAGUUCAGUUCUGUACAUUUUAAGGAGCUUGUGUGAUAUACACAUUGGAAAUGUUCAGCAGGCUGACAGUGUGGAUUUGUAUACAGCAGAGUCUCGACUAGAGACUAAAAGGCUGUAAUAGGUAACAUGAGUCCAGUUGAUGAGAAUAAGAUGAGAGGCAAGUGUGAAAUAAUACAAUUGUUUUCCUUUUUACAACUUCAUUGAGAUAUACUUUAUAUACAAUAACUUCACCCAGUUAAGUGCACAAUUUAAUCAGCUUUGCUAGGGGAAACCUAUGUGUUGGCCGCAGACUACUGACCAGAUUUCCCCCUCUAUCAGUUUGCUUUUAGGUUGUAUGUCUGUUUACCUUUCAUUUACCCGAAUCAACUCGAAAUUCAUAUGUAUCGCCAAGUGGUACAUCACUUUUAUUCUCUUUUUCCUCAGAUAUUUGAGUGGUUUCUAUUCCUGUGAAUAAAAUAUGAACAGCGUGCGCA